CACCCCAUCUCUCCUAUCUCUCUCACCCACGACACAGGCGCCACCAUCCUCGUGGCGCGGUCAGAUGAGGAACAGACGAGGCGCGCGAGGGGAUAUAUGGCGGACGCGCUCAAGCCGAGGCGCCACGAGGGGAUCCAGCGUGAAGGGAUAGACGAGCGGACCCAUCCCAAGUAGUUCCGUUGACCUCUCGUUGCUGGCGACCUCAACCUUAGGCAGAUCCUAGGUCCGCCGCCGCCACCGGCUCACAGGCCCGCCGCCGUGAUGGUGUCCGAGGCUCUCCCAACCCCGCCCCUUUUUUCAUUCGGCAUUGGUGUGGUCUGCUCCACCGUGCCGGAAGAGGACCAGACGCCUUCCACGCGGUGGUCGAGCCCGUGGAGUCGUUGAAGCACGCAACAUCCUUGAUGAAAUAGUUGCCUGCUCUUAUUUUUUUUCUCCAAGUUGCCUGCUCUUAUUUUUUUUCUCCAUUAGAGAUGAUACAUGAGAUGUGACCCCGCAUUGAUUUUUUUUAUCGAUCAGGUGAAUGCUUUGUACAAUCUGACAGAAAAAAUCGAGCUAUACCCUCUCUGCCUUCCAUUGAGACCUCCCGACAUUUGUCAGCCAUGUUCGCUGCUUAGUUCUGUGGGUUGUUGUGCUUGUUUGUUUGGAAUUUCUAUAUUGGAAUAGGAAUUGCUUGCAACAUGUGUCUGACACACAACUGCGAUCAUGGCUGCUAGAGCGGGCUUAUGUUUGAUGUACAAUAUCCAAGAGGCACGUGAGCUGCAAGAGUUCACAUUCAUAUUUAACGAGAGACAAAUGCUGCUAUGAACAUAAGUGUUGGUGAUUUCUGUACAUGCAUUGAACCAACUAAAGUUGACAUUGAUUUUGUAGCUUCUUCCUUGGGCGCAAGAAUUGCGAAUAUCAAAUGCACCAACGGUUGAAGGAGCCCAUCCAUCCACUGAGAGCAUUGCAACUUUCGACAUGCCAUUGAUUAAUCUAUCUGUUUAGUCGCAUCAGAUACACCAUCCUUUAAUUAUAUUGUCGAUGUCACUGACAUAUAUGUAACUAAGAGAAAAUAGGACUUUGUAUGGAUGUCAGACUAUUAUUAUUUUGAGGUGUUUCACUCUGAAGCUUUGUCGAGAUUAGUAUAUAGUGAUCAAUUUCAUGA
Long non-coding RNA from Triticum dicoccoides, 1144 nucleotides. RefSeq lists it as uncharacterized. The record is from RefSeq and is a predicted model, not a curated record. NCBI's taxonomy places the organism in Eukaryota, Viridiplantae, Streptophyta, Magnoliopsida, Poales, Poaceae. The transcript is spliced from 5 exons.